AGUCCUGAAGUACCCCAAGUUUUCCAAAGUCAAUGUCAUCAAUGGAAUUCUUAUGACCGUGGUCUUUUUCAUCGUGCGGAUCAUCGCGAUACCUCCAAUGUACUUCUACGUUUACUCCGUGUACGGAACAGAACCCUACAUAAGGCUUGGAUCUGUAGUCCAUUUUGUCUGGAUCUCUUCUUGUAUUGUUUUAGAUGUGAUGAACAUCAUGUGGAUGAUCAAAAUCACAAAAGGAUGCAUGAAAGUCAUCUCUCUCAUCAGACAAGAGAAAGCCAAGGACAGCCUUCAGAAUGGAAAACUCGAUUAAAGGCGGCUUCAUCAGACAGCUGUGUCCACAGACCAUCUUCAUUCCGCUGUCUUGUCUGAUAGGACGAGUUCUGUGCCGGCCGCUGUCAGGCAGUGUUGUUACUGUGGCGCUCUCAGUGUUUUCGUUUCUCCUUUCUUUCCUCUUUAGACAGGAGAAAAUGCAAUUUAGUUCUCAUUUCAGGAUUUCUUCUUUGCUUCUAUAUUUUUAGGCAUGGAUGGAAAUCGAAAGGUUUAAAUAAAAGUUGUAAGUAGAGUGGUAA
This 566-nucleotide long non-coding RNA is filed under the name Rattus norvegicus (Norway rat). RNAcentral's name for it is "long non-coding RNA NONRATT016824". The record is from RNAcentral. Lineage: Eukaryota; Metazoa; Chordata; Mammalia; Rodentia; Muridae.